Molecule: ribosomal RNA, 48 nt
Filed under: Colletotrichum gloeosporioides
Lineage: Eukaryota; Fungi; Ascomycota; Sordariomycetes; Glomerellales; Glomerellaceae
Description: partial 5.8S ribosomal RNA
Rfam family: 5.8S ribosomal RNA
About the family: 5.8S ribosomal RNA (5.8S rRNA) is a component of the large subunit of the eukaryotic ribosome. It is transcribed by RNA polymerase I as part of the 45S precursor that also contains 18S and 28S rRNA.
Source: RNAcentral
AACUUUUAACAACGGAUCUCUUGGUUCUGGCAUCGAUGAAGAACGCAG